This 45-nucleotide non-coding RNA is filed under the name Schistosoma margrebowiei. Lineage: Eukaryota; Metazoa; Platyhelminthes; Trematoda; Strigeidida; Schistosomatidae. The record is from RNAcentral.
AUCCAGCUGACGAGUCCUAAAUAGGAUGAAACGCGCAUCGUAGAU